This is a long non-coding RNA of Jaculus jaculus (lesser Egyptian jerboa), 158 nucleotides long. RefSeq lists it as uncharacterized. The transcript has 5 exons. The record is from RefSeq and is a predicted model, not a curated record. NCBI's taxonomy places the organism in Eukaryota, Metazoa, Chordata, Mammalia, Rodentia, Dipodidae.
GUGUCUUGUCAGCACAGACACCAAAGGAUCCACAGCACAAGGACUCUACGACAUUGGAGCCUGAUGUUAUGGCAGUCAAAAUUCCAGGAGAAUCAGAAAACAAUGAUACCAGCAGAUCAGAACAUGUUGGCGAUGUUACUGCUUAUGAUCAGCCACAC